GAUGAACGCUGGCGGCGUGCCUAAUACAUGCAAGUCGAGCGAACAGACGAGGAGCUUGCUCCUCUGACGUUAGCGGCGGACGGGUGAGUAACACGUGGAUAACCUACCUAUAAGACUGGGAUAACUUCGGGAAACCGGAGCUAAUACCGGAUAAUAUAUUGAACCGCAUGGUUCAAUAGUGAAAGACGGUUUUGCUGUCACUUAUAGAUGGAUCCGCGCCGCAUUAGCUAGUUGGUAAGGUAACGGCGUACCAAGGCGACGAUGCGUAGCCGACCUGAGAGGGUGAGCGGCCACACUGGAACUGAGACACGGUCCAGACUCCUACGGGAGGCAGCAGUAGGGAAUCUUCCGCAAUGGGCGAAAGCCUGACGGAGCAACGCCGCGUGAGUGAUGAAGGUCUUCGGAUCGUAAAACUCUGUUAUUAGGGAAGAACAAAUGUGUAAGUAACUAUGCACGUCUUGACGGUACCUAAUCAGAAAGCCACGGCUAACUACGUG
This 497-nucleotide ribosomal RNA is filed under the name uncultured bacterium. RNAcentral's name for it is "partial 16S ribosomal RNA". It matches the Rfam family "Bacterial small subunit ribosomal RNA", at positions 28 to 507 of the family's 1533-position model. The record is from RNAcentral.